GCCGGGCGCGGUGGCUCAAGCCUGUAAUCACAGCACUUGGGAGGCCGAGACGGGCGGAUCACGAGGUCAGGAGAUCGAGACUAUGCUGGCUAACACGGUGAAACCCCGUCUCUACUAAAAAAUACAAAAAACUAGCCGGGCAAGGUGGCGGGCGCCUGUAGUCCCAGCUACUUGNNNNNNNNNNCAAGUAGCUGGGACUACAGGCGCCCGCCACCUUGCCCGGCUAGGUUUUUUUUGUAUUUUUUAGUAGAGACGGGGUUUCACCGUAUUAUCCAGGAUGGUCUCGAUCUCUUGACCUCGUGAUCCACCCGUCUCGGC
This is a non-coding RNA of Chlorocebus sabaeus (green monkey), 318 nucleotides long. The record is from Rfam. Lineage: Eukaryota; Metazoa; Chordata; Mammalia; Primates; Cercopithecidae.